RNAcentral lists this ribosomal RNA (236 nucleotides) under uncultured bacterium. Its description in RNAcentral is "partial 16S ribosomal RNA". It matches the Rfam family "Bacterial small subunit ribosomal RNA", at positions 29 to 291 of the family's 1533-position model. The record is from RNAcentral.
AACGAACGCUGGCGGCAUGCCUAACACAUGCAAGUCGAACGAGACCUUCGGGUCUAGUGGCGCACGGGUGCGUAACGCGUGGGAAUCUGCCCUUAGGUACGGAAUAACUCAGGGAAACUUGAGCUAAUACCGUAUAAUGACUUCGGUCCAAAGAUUUAUCGCCUAAGGAUGAGCCCGCGUCGGAUUAGCUAGUUGGUGAGGUAAAAGACUCACCAAGGCGACGAUCCGUAGCUGGC